This 104-nucleotide microRNA precursor is filed under the name Olea europaea subsp. europaea. Lineage: Eukaryota; Viridiplantae; Streptophyta; Magnoliopsida; Lamiales; Oleaceae. The record is from RNAcentral.
GAGGCUUCCAGAAUUCUGGAGGCUCAAGUAUAUGACGCCUCCAGAAUUACGGAGGCCUCAACAUGAGCCUCCAUAUACUUGAGCCUCCAGAAUUUUGGAGGCCU